Lates calcarifer (barramundi perch) is the source of this 482-nucleotide long non-coding RNA. RefSeq lists it as uncharacterized. Lineage: Eukaryota; Metazoa; Chordata; Actinopteri; Centropomidae. The record is from RefSeq and is a predicted model, not a curated record. The transcript has 5 exons.
GCAGCCAAGCGGUGGAGAAAUGGUCGGAAAAAACAGUCAAACUACGGGGAAAACUAAUGUUUGAGUCGUCGCUUGGUUUGUUAGCGCUGUGAAGAACUUCAUUACUGAAGAAGUCAGGAUGCUGGAGCUGUUUUUGUCAACACGAGUGAGGUUGGACGCUGAAGGUCUGCUUGUUCUGCUGUCGCAACCUGGACGGAAAUAGCAGCUCUCACUUUACAGACUAUAGAGGUGUCACCACUUUGUCCACAAACAUAGAGUGUCUUUGUACAUUGAAGAAGUUCUUUGAGACCAGGACAGAGACCUCCAGGAUUCAACCAUUAAAUCACAGAGAGACAGACGUGAAGACAUUUCUAGAAGGUUUUCAGCUGCCGUCAUCUACUCCUGCAGAGACAAGAACAUGUGUUAAUCAUACAUCUCAGCAUCACAUAUUUUACUGUUUUACUGUUACUGUUUUUUUUUCUAUUAUUAUAGUCACAGUAAUG